UACAGGGGGGGCAAGCGUUGUUCGGAAUUACUGGGCGUAAAGGGCCAGUAGGCGGCCAACUAAGUCCGACGUGAAAUCCCCAGGCUUAACCUGGGAACUGCGUCGGAUACUGGAUGGCUUGAAUUCGGGAGAGGGAUGCAGAAUUCCAGGUGUAGCGGUGAGAUGCGUAGAUAUCUGGAGGAAUACCGGUGGCGAAGGCGGCAUCCUGGACCGACAUUGACGCUGAAUGGCGAAAGCUAGGGGAGCAAACGGG
This 253-nucleotide ribosomal RNA is filed under the name uncultured bacterium. Its description in RNAcentral is "partial 16S ribosomal RNA". It matches the Rfam family "Bacterial small subunit ribosomal RNA", at positions 524 to 776 of the family's 1533-position model. The record is from RNAcentral.